ACGGAAGGCAGCAGUGGGGAAUAUUGCACAAUGGGCGCAAGCCUGAUGCAGCGAUGCCGCGUGAGGGAGGAAGGUUUUCGGAUUGUAAACUCCUGUCCUUAGUGAAGAAAAAAAUGACGGUAGCUAAGAAGAAAGCCACGGCUAACUACGUGCCAGCAGCCGCGGUAAUACGUAGGUGGCAAGCGUUAUCCGGAAUUACUGGGUGUAAAGGGGGCGCAGGCGGGACUGCAAGUUGGAUGUGAAAUACCGCAGCUUAACUGCGGAGCUGCAUCCAAAACUGUAGUUCUUGAGUGGAGUAGAGGUAAGCGGAAUUCCGAGUGUAGCGGUGAAAUGCGUAGAUAUUCGGAAGAACACCGGUGGCGAAGGCGGCUUACUGGGCUCUUACUGACGCUGAGGCCCGAAAGUGUGGGGAGCAAACAGGAUUAGAUACCCUGGUA
This 437-nucleotide ribosomal RNA is filed under the name uncultured Oscillospiraceae bacterium. Its description in RNAcentral is "partial 16S ribosomal RNA". It matches the Rfam family "Bacterial small subunit ribosomal RNA", at positions 341 to 792 of the family's 1533-position model. Lineage: Bacteria; Bacillati; Bacillota; Clostridia; Eubacteriales; Oscillospiraceae. The record is from RNAcentral.